Molecule: transfer RNA, 70 nt
Filed under: Amblyomma fimbriatum (goanna tick)
Lineage: Eukaryota; Metazoa; Arthropoda; Arachnida; Ixodida; Ixodidae
Description: tRNA-Gly
Source: RNAcentral
GUUUAAUUAGUAUAAUAAGUACAAUUAAUUUCCAAUUAAUAGGUUUUGAAAUAAAAUUUAACAAUUAACA